UGUUAUAAGAUUUUCAUUCACUCAGGAGUAAGCCAGUGAUCCUCCCUGUUAUGAGGAUUCCAGGGGGAUUCGGAGAUUCCUAAAGCCCUCCAACGUUUAGCGACGAUGGACGAUGGCAGACCCGUGCCUUCCUUGAGCUCAAAACCCAAAUGGCUCCUGUGUCUCCUGCCUGUGUGUCCCCUUCCCCAAUGAGCCAAAACGCACAGCUCACUGUUUGACUACAAUGGACAUAUUGCAAAGAGAAUUAAGAUUUUGUAGGUGCCCUGAGCCUCGGUUAGCAUGAAAAUUUCCGCUUGAAAACAAUCUCCCAAGGAAUGCUUUAGGAAAGAUGCUGGUGACUUCCAGGCAACUUAGAAGAUGUGGGUUUUAUUACGGUUUCAGUGGGCAUCCUCCCUCCUACAUGUAUGGUCACCCAUCAACACAGGCCAGUCUGACGAAGACAAAACCAGCACGGAGCAUGCCCUCUCUGCAUCACUGUCCCAGGAAUUGGUUACGCAGUGAUAAGCAAAACACCCACACUUCCUGCAAUUUAAGAGCCCAGCAAGAAGCCUUCAUGGUAACUAGAAAAUGGAGACCGUACCUUCUACCUGCCUGCGUCUACUGAGGGGCCUACAGCUAAAGCAAUACCAUAAAUGCUCAAUAAACGUUGCUCAAAUUCUCACGGUAAUAGCAGAAUGCCCAGAAAUUACCUGAAUAAUAUUUUGCAAUUGUUCAAGCCGUUUGGACAAAACGCAUUAGGAAGCUGAAGAGAAUGUGGGUUGACCCUUUCAUUUCUUCUGUUUCUUCUUAUAUUAUCAAACUUGGAACCAUUUGUCAGGUUUUGCUUGUAAUUUCUAACUUUCCAAAUGUAAUGUUACCACGUUUCUCGUUACACAUAAGUAAUAUUUGGUUAAAUAUUGCCGAGGCCGUGUCUCCAUGACAGGGGGAAAAAGAGAUUUCAGCAGAAAAUAAAGCAAAAUAUGUUUGGUCGGAA
Molecule: long non-coding RNA, 973 nt
Organism: Leopardus geoffroyi (Geoffroy's cat)
Lineage: Eukaryota; Metazoa; Chordata; Mammalia; Carnivora; Felidae
Exons: 2
Source: RefSeq, a predicted model, not a curated record